GACUCAACACGGGGAAACUCACCAGGUCCAGACAUAACUAGGAUUGACAGAUUGAUAGCUCUUUCUUGAUUUUAUGGGUGGUGGUGCAUGGCCGUUCUUAGUUGGUGGAGUGAUUUGUCUGGUUAAUUCCGAUAACGAACGAGACCUUAACCUGCUAAAUAGCCAGACCGUCUUUUGAUGGUUGCAGGCUUCUUAGAGGGACUGUCAGGAUCUACCUGACGGAAGUUUGAGGCAAUAACAGGUCUGUGAUGCCCUUAGAUGUUCUGGGCCGCACGCGCGCUACACUGACAAAGCCAGCGAGUUUAUCACCUUGGCCGGAAGGUCCGGGUAAUCUUGUGAAACUUUGUCGUGCUGGGGAUAGAGCAUUGCAAUUAUUGCUCUUCAACGAGGAAUGCCUAGUAAGCGCAAGUCAUCAGCUUGCGUUGAUUACGUCCCUGCCCUUUGUACACACCGCCCGUCGCUACUACCGAUUGAAUGGCUUAGUGAGGUCUUCGGAUUGGCGUUAGGGACCCGGCAACGGGACUCUUUUGCUGAGAAGUUGAUCAAACUUGGUCAUUUAGAGGAAGUAAAAGUCGUAACAAGGUUUCCGUAGCACAAGUCUACGAAGAACAGUAAUGUUCCUUCCGCAGAGUACACUUGCAGAAGCCUUAGUGGCCCGAAAGGGUGUCAUCAACGACUAUAAACAAGUAGAUGGAUUAAACGCUAGUCUCUUCUAGAGGCAACACUAUCAAAUUGCGGGAAGAUCCUGUCAUGUCCACAUCACCGCGGCUCACCGAAAGGUGCAGUGCAGCACCAGGUUAACUACCUUGGGAAUGGUAAUAGCAUGUUGGAAUAGGGAGAAUCCGCAGCCAAGCCCCUUUGUGGGGUGCAGUUCACAGGCCAAAUGGUAGUGGGCACUUCAAGUGCUUAAGAUAUGGUCGAGUCCCAGUUGUAAAGCUGGGUACAAGUACUCUUGCUUGGAUAUAAAAUGCAAAUGUUCCGUAGGUGAACCUGCGGAAGGAUCAUUAAUGAAUUAUAAGCCGGUCGUCUGUGCUGGUGGGGCAACUCACAUGUGCACGUCGAUCGCAAAUCCACACACCUGUGCACUUUUGACUUUGGGAUCCACUGGUUGGCUUGUCCGACUUGUAGCUGGUUUUGGUCUUGUACCUUGGCCUGGGUCUCAGAGUAAUUUUUACACACUCUGAAUGUAAUGGAAUGUCUUGUGCAUAAUGCAUAUAAAAACAACUUUCAACAACGGAUCUCUUGGCUCUCGCACCGAUGAAGAACGCAGCGAAAUGCGAUAAGUAAUGUGAAUUGCAGAAUUCAGUGAAUCAUCGAAUCUUUGAACGCACCUUGCACCUUUUGGUAUUCCGAAAGGUACNNCCCGNUUUGAGUGNCAUUGUAAUCUCACUCCUUCAACUUUUGUUGUUGCUGGAUGUGGACUUGGACUCUGUCGUGUUACAGCGACUGGUCUGAAAUGCCUGAGUACACCCUGCUGUUGCAGCGUCUUCAGUGUGAUAAGCAUCUUCACUGAUUCAAGUUCCUUUUGGGACACGUAGCAUUGUGGGCUCUGUGCUGACAAACCGUCUUCGGACAAACUUUGACAAUUUGACCUCAAAUCGGGUGGGACUACCCGCUGAACUUAAGCAUAUCAAUAAGCGGAGGAAAAGAAACUAACAAGGAUUCCCCUAGUAACGGCGAGUGAAGAGGGAAAAGCUCAAAUUUUGAAUCUGGUGUCUUUGGCGCCCGAGUUGUAAUCUAGAGAAGUGUUUUCUGCCUCGGACCACACAUAAAUUCCCUGGAAUGGGGUGUCAUAGAGGGUGAGAAUCCCGUUUGUGGUGUGGACUACCUUGGCUCUGUGAUACACUCUCAACGAGUCGAGUUGUUUGGGAAUGCAGCUCAAAAUGGGUGGUAAAUUCCAUCUAAAGCUAAAUAUUGGCGAGAGACCGAUAGCGAACAAGUACCGUGAGGGAAAGAUGAAAAGCACUUUGGAAAGAGAGUGAAACAGUACGUGAAAUUGUUGAAAGGGAAGCGUUUGAAGUCAGUCACAUCGAUCGGAAUUCAGCCUGGCUUUGCCUGGUGUACUUUCUGGUAGAUGGGUCAGCGUCAAUUUCGACUGAGGGAAAAAGACUUGAGGAAUGUGGCUGUCUUCGGGCAGUGUUAUAGCCUCUUGUUGUAUGUCUCAGUUGGGAUUGAGGACCGCAGCACGCCAUUUGGCCGGGGUUCGCGCCCUCGGAACGUGCUUAGGACGCUGGCAUAAUGGCUUUAAGCGACCCGUCUUGAAACACGGACCAAGGAGUCUAACAUGUGCGCGAGUGUUUAGGUGUUAAACCUGGGCGCGUAAUGAAAGUGAAAGGUCGGGAUCAUGUACUUGUGCACCGACGCCCGGAGCAGACCUUCUGUGACGCAUCCGCGGUAGAGCGUAUAUGUUGGGACCCGAAAGAUGGUGAACUAUGCCUGAAUAGGGUGAAGCCAGAGGAAACUCUGGUGGAGGCUCGUAGCGAUUCUGACGUGCAAAUCGAUCGUCAAAUUUGGGUAUAGGGGCGAAAGACUAAUCGAACCAUCUAGUAGCUGGUUCCUGCCGAAGUUUCCCUCAGGAUAGCAGAAACUCAUUAUCAGCCUUGUGCGGUAAAGCGAAUGAUUAGAGGCCUUGGGGUUGAAACAACCUUAACCUAUUCUCAAACUCUAAAUGUGCAAGAUAGAGUUGUCACUUGAUUGGACUUCUCUGUGGGUGAGAGUUUCUAGUGGG
RNAcentral lists this ribosomal RNA (2728 nucleotides) under Serendipita vermifera. Its description in RNAcentral is "eukaryotic LSU rRNA". The stretch from base 1589 to 2728 matches the Rfam family "Eukaryotic large subunit ribosomal RNA", at positions 1 to 1130 of the family's 3401-position model. Lineage: Eukaryota; Fungi; Basidiomycota; Agaricomycetes; Sebacinales; Serendipitaceae. The record is from RNAcentral.